RNAcentral lists this ribosomal RNA (553 nucleotides) under uncultured archaeon. Its description in RNAcentral is "bacterial SSU rRNA". It matches the Rfam family "Archaeal small subunit ribosomal RNA", at positions 326 to 879 of the family's 1478-position model. The record is from RNAcentral.
CGGGGUGCAGCAGGCGCGAAAACUUUACCAUUCGGGAAACCGUGAUAAGGGGACACCGAGUGCCAGCAUCAUAUGCUGGCUGUCCAGGUGUGUAAAAUACACCUGUUAGCAAGGGCCGGGCAAGACCGGUGCCAGCCGCCGCGGUAACACCGGCGGCCCGAGUGGUGAUCGUGAUUAUUGGGUCUAAAGGGUCCGUAGCCGGUUUGGUCAGUCCUCCGGGAAUUCUGACGGCUCAACCGUUAGGCUUUCGGGGGAUACUGCCAGGCUUGGAACCGGGAGAGGUAAGAGGUACUACAGGGGUAGGAGUGAAAUCUUGUAAUCCCUGUGAGACCACCUGUGGCGAAGGCGUCUUACCAGAACGGGUUCGACGGUGAGGGACGAAAGCUGGGGGCACGAACCGGAUUAGAUACCCGGGUAGUCCCAGCUGUAAACGAUGCUCGCUAGGUGUCAGGCAUGGCGCGACCGUGUCUGGUGCCGCAGGGAAGCCGUGAAGCGAGCCACCUGGGAAGUACGGCCGCAAGGCUGAAACUUAAAGGAAUUGGCGGGGGAGCAC